AGGGGGAAUGGAAUCAACACAAAUUGGUCAAAGGAGGAAUUUUACCAAAUUAAGAUCAUUCAUUCAUUUUGGGAGAUGAAAUGUACAUUUCAUCAAUCCCCUAAAUCCAAUGAUCUUAACUUAACAAAUUCAAAUCAACCUUGACCAAGGCCCAACAACACAAGUCAAACUCAACAAGUAAAUAAUAGAAGCUCAACAUAAUUUAUUUGGCAUUUAAAUAAUAAAAACAAAUAAAAUAUGCAUUAAAUUAAAUCACGGUUUAUCAAAUUCCUAAAACCUCAUCAAAACAC
RNAcentral lists this long non-coding RNA (290 nucleotides) under Lathyrus oleraceus (garden pea). Its description in RNAcentral is "Pisum sativum (pea) long non-coding RNA (PSAT_LNC022759)". Lineage: Eukaryota; Viridiplantae; Streptophyta; Magnoliopsida; Fabales; Fabaceae. The record is from RNAcentral.